RNAcentral lists this long non-coding RNA (2524 nucleotides) under Capsicum annuum. RNAcentral's name for it is "long non-coding RNA (CANN_LNC007171)". The record is from RNAcentral. Lineage: Eukaryota; Viridiplantae; Streptophyta; Magnoliopsida; Solanales; Solanaceae.
GUAGACUCCUAUAAUCUUGGGGAUGUGUUUCUAAAAUAGAAUUCUAAUUUUAAUUUACCCUUUACAUUUUGAACUCAUUUUAGACCCAACCUAAAUAUGAGUAAUAUGAGCAUCGUUAGCCUUCUUUUAACGUAUAGAUUCCAUAUAUAAAUAUUAAAGUUGAUUCAGAGGCCGUUCGUGAGGGAAAUGCUUGGGUUUGAAGCACUUUAGAUUGGAAUUUCGUCAUUUUGAGGUAGGUUAUGUCUUAAAUUCUGUUAGAUUGAGUUGGGAAGUUAUUGAACAGAGAAAACAUGUAUGGAUUGGGAAAAGUAACUAUGGAGUGUAUAUUCCAGAGUUAUUUUUACUAUUGUGUGACAGUGUAGGGGCUUAUAUUCUAUUGUGAGUGGUUUGUGAUAACUGAUGUUGUGUGUUGACUUUAUGAGAGCUUUAUUUAGCAUCAUUGGCCUUAUCUGUGCAUUUAGAUGUUGUUAUUCUAGAUAUGAUGCCCUUAUUUUUCUAAUAUAGUCCUUAAUUGAGUAUUGGUUGACUUUAUAAUGAUAAAAUACAUGAGUUAGAGAUUGAUAUGAUAUUAAUGAUGUGUUACGUAAUUGGAGUUGAUGAUCAUGAAUUAUAAAUAGAUUGAGUUGAUUUUUGAGAUCACUUAUAUAUAUAUAUAUAUAUAUAUAUAUAUAUAUAAUAUAUAUAUAUAUUGGAUAGAAUGAUUAUCAUCAUAUUAAGUUGAUUGUGGAUUACAUCUUCAUUCCAUACAUAUACAUUCAUGAGAUACUGGUACCGCUGAGAAACACUAUUUUUGAAGAAAAUAAAAUACUUUUAUGAAACAUCUCUGCGUAAAUAUGAGUUAGAGAGGCGAGUUGAGAUAGAGAUAAAGAUAUAGUAUAUGGUUUGCAAACUCUCCAUGGAUCCAACUUGGUGUGAACUUGAUGGGUGUAUACAGAAAGUCAUGAGAUAGCUUUCAUCAUUCAUCCUGUUUACGUUGUAUUGCAUUGCAUUUGCAAACACAUCAUGCUUAGUUUUCUUAAUUUCCUUGAUUUGUGCUUAGUUCAGUGUGUUUUCGUAUAUAUCUAUGUUGUUUUUAUUUCUGUGUAAUUAUAUUAUAACUUUAAGAGGAGAUGGUGAGAGCCACCGUUUGGGACUUUUCUGCUUGCAGGUGACAUGCUCAUAGUAUAUUUUACUUAUCUUAUUUUCUGCUUUGCUCAUUUGGCCUAUGAUUCCUACUGAGUACAAGUGGACCAUACUCACCCCAACUGUGCUCUUUCGGUGCAUAUCUUAGUAUGAGCACCUUGCGUGGCAGUUGAAUUUGCACAGAGUUUCUAAACUUCGAGGUACUAAUUAGCUUUAGAGUUGAUUCGAACUCACCUAUAUUUAUUUAAAUUUAUCUUGGUCAUCAGAGACAGAUGUAUACUUUGAGUUUUCGAAUAUUAUGUUAGACACUCUUACUCUAUGACACUAAAUUUUGGAGAUUUAUGAGAUUUUUUUCCAGAUUCACCUUAUUUUCUUAUGUUUUAGGGCCUGCUUAAUUCUAGAAGUCUUGUAUUGAUGUAUGCUAUUAUAAAUUUUGUAUUUCCUUUAUCAGUUUGAGUGAUUUACUUACUUAUGAAGGCUUGACUUUAUUGUGAUUGUUUUUCAUAUUGGUUAUUAUUGUGGGAUGUAUUGAAAUUUAGACGUCUUCAUUGAAUUGGUUGAUUCAGGUACCACGACGGUAUAGUACAUGGAUAAGAGCUCGACUCCUACAAGCCAUGACUAGUGGACAACCAUAAGACCCUUAACAUGUAUGUACAUGGUAUGUAUGAAUGUGACAGUUCCUUGAGUGGAUCAGGUAUAUGAUUAUUGUUAUUGUUGUUGUUUAUAUUGGUUCCAUGAGUGGGUCAAAUUACAUUGUGGUUGUUGUUAUGGGUUCCUUGAGUGAACGAAAUUAUGAUAUUGCUUGAUAUAUUUGGGAUUCUUGUAGGGUCUAGUUACGUGUCAUAUAUUUUGAAAUUCUUAUUGUUAGAAUCAUGGUUUGUUAAUUUGUAUAUCGUUAGAGUCAUGAUUUGUUAACUUAGAUAUUGUUAGAGACAAGAUUAUUGAUUUGGACAUGGUUUGACUUGACCUGUUGUCUCUUGACUUGUACUUGACUUAAGUUGCAGAGUUACUUGAAAAGGCUAAGUGUCAUAAACUUGGGGUAUUUAUCAUAAUGUGUGUCAUAGUUGUAUUUAUUAUAAGCUGAUGAUUAUUAAUUAUUUAACAUGAUUAAUAACUAUUAGGUUCAAACAUGUGAGAGUUAGGAUAGAUGAGACUUGAAUGACGAUGUUGAAUGAUCAACACGAAUGAGAAUGAAAAUACUCUUAGUUAAAACAAGGAAUAAAGAUUGCAAGCGGAUAAAGACAUUAUGAAUUAAAUUAUUAUAUAAGUUGUCAUAUUUUCUAUCGUAAUUUCUAUAUCGUGUUUACAUGAUCUAACCCUGGUCGGUCGAUUAUACGUGCAAGUAUGUGUUUUUACUGAUACUACUCUUGCUAUAUCCUUUUUUGGGUAUAGUCGUUUGCAG